Armigeres subalbatus is the source of this 12221-nucleotide long non-coding RNA. RefSeq lists it as uncharacterized. The transcript is spliced from 2 exons. Lineage: Eukaryota; Metazoa; Arthropoda; Insecta; Diptera; Culicidae. The record is from RefSeq and is a predicted model, not a curated record.
UGAACGCCACGUCUAUUCCCUUCUCAAGAAAAUCCUUCAGCUCGAUGGUUUUGCUCUUGAGCGUGCAAGCGUUCCAGUUGACCAAGCCCACUCUAGCAGCCAUUUUAAAUUAUGAACAUGCCAAAAAUGAAGACCUGCUCGAAUUGGGCUUUGCAACCAUGCAGCCGAGUGGCGAGCUGCGAUCGGCAUCAAUGGCUCCGGGGUGUAAAGCGGGGCAGAUUCUUCCGAUGGGACACCUUCGAUAUCCGGCUGUCGCCGUAAUCCAGCAGAAGGAAGUGGGGGCCAUUCAUUGGUAGAUAGAGCAGGUGGUGUUGGAACUUGAACCGACGCAACUCGAAACGGGAUGGCCAGAUAGUUAAACUCGUUGGUUGUUGGUACUCAGUUCUUACUUGAGAGCGUCCUAGUGGAAGCCUUCUUACGGAUUUUCACUUUCGUUGCCAAUCCUACUUCCUCCAUAAUUUAUUCUGGCUGAUAAUAAAUUUGAAUCACUUCAUCCGAAGGUAGCACUGACGAAUCGAAAGCUUGGAAAUUUAGUACACAACUGAUGACAGCUAAAAAGUCAACAAGAGGACAAAACCGCAUAUCUUAAAAAAAAGAAUUUUAAUUCAACAAAACUCAGCAAAUACAAACCUAAAGAAUACAAAUGCAUUGUAGAGCAACUACGAGAGCUUAGACCAUUUUAGAGACCUCUCCAUAUUUUUAAGACGAAUCAAGGACGACAAAUGUUACAAACUUGUGUGAGUGUGUGAAUGGAAUUUGUUUAUUUAUUUAAUUGUCAAACACGUCAAAUGGGCCUAAGAAGAUGAACGAUAUAAACGAUAUUUUUGCGCUUAUUCAAAGAUGGAGUUUCUUUUCUGUUCCUAUUGAGAAAGCAUUGCGAGGGUCAUCUAUUGUUACACCGUUUGAAAUAUAUUGGCUUUAUUCGCGUUCAUUCAUAGCUUGGACCAGAUUAAUCUUCCCACGGUUAUCCUAAACUGUCUUAUCACUGUCCACUAUGUUUCAACAAUGUGACCCUGCCGGGGGCCGGCAAUCACCGCAGGGGAAUUACAAGGAAAUCUUUACUGUACAUGGUUCAUUGUUUGGAACAACUAAACGGUAGUCUUGAUUGGUUGGCUUUACAGAGCUGUGGUUGUGCCUGACGCUUGCGGUUGAGUAGCUUCUAGUUUUAACUCAGCAUCGGUAGUAAGUAUGAUAUGUAAAUUGCUAAAUGUGGUUACAAUUCGGUUUCGUUUUUUUAAGGCAAACAAAUUAAGUAUUGAGUUUUCCGUGUAGUGAAAGCUAAACUUAAUAAGUGCACGCGUUUUGACCGCCAUUUGGCAAUCGCACUCGAUUGUAAAUCUGCGUCGUGUAUCAUUUAUAAAUAUGUGUUUUUGAUCGUAACGGAUCUGGACCGCACCGCACUGAAGUUGAUUUUUCUCAUUUCUGGCGCACUUUUGGUAAAUAAAUUAAUUUACAACUACUUAUUACAGAACGGUUAAGAAAACAAACGUGUUGCGUUCCCUAAUCCAUCUGCAAUUCAAUACACUCCAUUCGUCUAGUUUUUUUUUUCAGUCUUCAAUAUAUACAGAAUAUGAUUGUUACAUUGGAACAUCCUAGCUAAUAGUAUUUUUUUUCUGCGUUCAAUUAACCAAUUGGCAUCCACUUUGGGCGAACAGUCCACACCAUGCUGAUACGGUACUAAAAUGGCACUAAAGUGGCAUCAUAUCAGCAUUAUCCGAACCGUUUCGUCCCGCACGUGUGGCUAUUUAAUUAUCUGAUAUUGUAUAAUUAUAAAUUAUAAUGAAGUUCUCUAGCGCCUAGCUCGAAGGAAGAUUAGAUUGCAAUCGUUUACAGCAAUUAGGAAAUUACCGACUGACAAUAACAUUUGAUCGAUAUAGGCUCGUCCUUACCGCUAACAAUGAUCCAGAUCGAGAGCUUUGCUCUCGACGAUCGCUUACUGCUACCUAACGUUGUGCUCUAAGUCUAACAGAGGAAAUAACUAGUCACUGAAAUUUAACAUCACCGGCUUAAAACUAUGACUUUACAUUGUGAGGAAGAUUCAGAAAAUUCAAUUAAAAAACUUAUCGAACAAUUGUACGCCGUGCAUUGGAGGGGUUAGUCAAAGUGUGGAAGAUAGGUGAUAGCAGCAGGGGAAGUGGACCAAUAAAUAGCGUCUGCGUUCGGUAAUGGUGGCUUGCAGGAUCUGUACUGCCGUGAAUCGCAUAGUUGUCCCAUAUGAAUAGGAAACCCAGCAAAGAUGGGACAGAUAUGCGAUUCACGGCAGUGUAGAAAUGUGAAAAAGCACAUGAAUUGAAAAAUUAUUUGAAAAAUUGGUUUCGAAUUUGACGACAAUUUUUCAAAUCUAAUAGCAAACCCUCGCAUCACGCUGUCUUAACCGUUUUAACGCGUUGUUUUUCGAGGGCUGGCUAUCAUGUUUUGAUUCGUUGUUUGCAAAAAACCAAUAAUCCUUUUUGACAAUUUUUGUUGUUGCAGCAGUGAUAUUUGCUUUACAAGACCGCUACCGAACAUAACUGAAUUGCCAAACCAUAUGCUAGAAUCAGGAAAAGGUAAGUGUACAGAAAUGCGUUGCAGUAUUAGGAAAUUUAAUAAACUCUCGUAAUGAGUUGCGAGGAUUAUUUGAGAAGCACACAGCUGAAAUCCAGCCUAACGACUUGAUAUUUGUAUAAGCACUAAUCACGUAUAAAAAUCCAAGUAAUUAGAUUACAUCGAAGUGAUUUAGAAUGGGGACAGAAAUAGGGGUACUGCCCAAAUUUUCUUAUUCCCUAUUACAGGGCGAUAUUGAUGGAAGAAAAUCCUCUCGAUUAAAACUAUCCAUUCGGAAAGAUACAAAUUCAGAGUCAAACGCAAAGGGGUGCAAAAACUUGGUUUUAGAGAAUAGAGUGCAAAGAUUUUCAAUAUUUUUCAUACAAAUUAAAUAGAAACUCAAAAAUUAAAAAUUUUCUGUGAAUUUUCACAUUUAUUAUGAACAUUGUACAAACUAUAUCAGCAUAUUGCCGCAAAGGUCUAGAACCAUAGCAUUUUUCGCUAUAGCCAACUUAGUUUUGACAAAAAUGUCACUUGCACUCCUCUGCUUCUAACAAGUGGGUCAAUCGUUCGUUAGUGGGUUUGCAACUCAAACUCACUGAUUAUUUGGGUCAGUCACUCAAUUUUGAUCCUUAAAUAUAAUGUACCUAUCCAUCAUAUACGUUUUUCAAAUCGAACUCAAUGUCUCAUAUCUCUUGGAAAAUGAAAUUAAUUUCAAUCUAUUCGGCUGGUUUCAUUUACGAAAGUAACCAUUUUAAGUCUCAAUUUUAUUUUGUUUAUGCGAGCAAGCGAUGCAGUUUAUUGUACUCCCAAGUACCGUUUUGACUGAAAUCGGCGUUUCAGGCACCCCUAAACACUCAAAACCUCAUCAAAGCUCACACCAAUUACGAAUACAAAACAUAGCACCUAGGCUUGCUAAUCGAUGGAUAAGAUUUCACCUUAAUUGAGUACAAGAACUUCCAAAUGUUGCUUGAAACUGGUGAAAUUGGGUGGAGGAAAACUAUUGCAAGCUUUUAAUCAGCAUCUCAAGACCAUAACUUGCUUUCAAGAUGUUUCACUUUCUAAUGAAAAAUAAUUUGCCGAAAUCCUAAUUCAGUGAUCCCCAAAAAGUGAUCCCCGUUUGCGGCCCUUGAAACCAAUGGACCAAGAUCCUUCUAUCACCAUAAUUAAAUAAAUUUCUACCUUCAUUGAUGUUAUGUAGGCUAACGGUAACAUACUUUGAUGGUAUUGUGUAUUUUUUGCGCAGAUUAAAACGAGCUAAAUAUUGAACGGCAGGUAAAAAAUAUGUUUUACUACACUGCUUCUUAAUAAGAAUACUUUUAAUCUUCAAGAUAAGUUGAGAUGUGACAAGUUCAACUGAAAGUUGUUUGAUUUUUAACACCAGAAAAUGUUGAAAUCAAGAUUUUGUCAUUUUGCGAUUUAGUAGGAAUGAUGAAGUUUUUUUUGUUCUUAUCUUUUGUCUUUUAUAAGUUUGAGAUAUUCAAUCGGGAUUAUAUCUGCAUUGUUCGUCGUUUCGGCCCGUUUAUUGCGUCUUUUUCCUGAUAGGCUUUUCUGUUGGAAAAGACCCAAUAAACGAGCCAAAACAUCGGGCAAUGCAGAUAUAUAAUCCUGUUUGAAUAUCUCAGACUGAGAAACUCAGAAAAUAAGUACUGCUAAUAAGCUCAGUUCAAACUCUUAGAAUCGGUCAGCAGAUGAUCAUUUGGUAAAUAACUUUUAAUAUAUUCUACCAAAAAAGCCGAAAAAAUGUUUUUGCGUAAGGAUUUUUUCCCCCUUAAAUCCGCACACUUAAUUUUUUUUACCAGGAUCUCAGCAAUUUGUUGAACUUUUACCGAGAUUCCAGCCGUGCCCCAGCAAACGUGUUUUUUGCCGAGAUUUCUGUCAAAAUUGCUGAAAAUCAGCAAAUUAUUUGCCGAAAAUUAGCUAACAAACGUUGUUUUUACCGGGAUAUUAGAUUUUAUUUUGCUGGGCAAACGGCUGUGCGGAUUUUGCCGAGCUGCAGAAAUAAAAACUGAGUGUGCGCUAUCGCAAAAGUAUCUAAUAAUAUCAACAAAAAGUCAGCUACGGCAAUAAAAUCUGAAGAAUGUAAUGCCCUUACAAGUAUGUUAUUUGAAAAAGAUUCAAAAAGAUUUGUGUACUCCAAAUGUUUAAAUAUUAAAUACAUAUCAAUAUUAUUUUGUAUUAUGCUUUAAAAUUCAAUACGAAAUAAAAAACAAAUAUUGCAAAUAUGGUAACCAACUUUAUUUGGACUCCUGCACAUUUUAUACCCUCCUGGCGAUAUUUUCUUGAUUUCUGAACUAAAAUCAAUGCUGCUGCUAAUUCCCACAUUGGCUUCAGAAAAAUAGUAUUGUUCAGCAUCUGUCUCACUGGUUUCCCGUGCGAAAAAAGCGAUAAUAAGAUGAAAUUUCGAGGACAUUAGUUUGUUCAAGAAGGCGAGCGUUACAAUGCGUUACGCUUAAAAGUCUACAUCAAUGAAAAUCUCGGAACGCACACAAUAAGUUUUUGUCGAAAUUGUGAAUUUAAAACGCAGGAAUGUUCUCAUUGAUGCAUGCCAAUCGAAAGAUACGACUUUGCUUCGACUCAAUUGACCAGAGUAAAUUAGAAAUUCGUCUUUGAAGAGACUAAAUUGGGGUGUCCAAAAUGUGUACAUUCGGAGGUUCAAAAUGUGUUGCACUGUCCAAAACGAAGAAUAUUUUCAUUUCAUAAAUUGGAAAAUUUCACCGGCUUAUCAAUAACCGAAGCCCUCUUCAAAUUUCUGUUUCAUAAAUAAGACUUUCAUCUUUGAAAUGGUGUCAUUUCCGCCCGUAUCGAACUUGUAGUUCAAUAGAUACUAGCAUAUCCAGCUUUCCACGCUCGCCAUAAUGGCGGAUGCUAUAAUUUUUUUGACAUUAACUUCUUCCCGACACUGAACUAGAAUUUUGGUCUAAGUAAACAUUGAUGUUAGCCGUUACCAUUAGAAGCCAAUGCGUUGUUUGUUUACCAUCAAUAAGAAAAAAUUUGGCGAUGAAUGUUUUUCGACAAAUACUAUUUAUAUUACUAACUUUUGUUGCUUUUGUUUCGUUCUGGUUAUUAAGAUACCCUACUUAUGAGGCCAACGCAUUUAUAGAAUGGACAUCGAAAUAGUUCCCGCUAGCUCGUAUUUUUGGACAUGAUAUUUACCCCCAGGACAGUACUCUAUUGAUAGAGAUUACAAAUAGUUAUUAAAAAACAACAUGCUGGUCAUGCAGAAAUUGGAGAGAUUCUUUGAUGUCAAUGUUACUUAAAAUUUACACUGAACAGAAUUAAAAGACCAGAUUUUGGAGUAUUGAACAACUGCACAUCAUAAUUUUAUUUGGCCUACAUUGGAGGUCUUUCGCUCUCCGUGGCUUAGGAUACAGCUGGGACCGAGGCUGGGACUUAGUACGUGAAGCUCUCAUAACUUCGUCCACACAGCUAAAUAUUUUAUAAAUUUAUAUCCUAUGUGUGCAUUCAAAUUGUUCAGCGUUUGAAAAGAACGACACCAGUUCUCCCUUUUCUUUUCUUUAUUUGAAAACUGGGUCCUUCCGAUACAUAAUAGGUUUUGCCUCUCACGAGUGGUGUAUAUGAUAAAAGUAUCAAAAAAAUUCUUAAAACCAGAUUUAUUCUUUAGCAAUGAAAUGUUUCAACAAUCCAGGCCAGGUAUUUCUACUCAGACAGCGAAUCAGUUUUGUAAAAUAAGGUAAAAUAUUUUAUUGUUUUAAAAAUUGUUAGAGCUUUAUCUACGGAACUCCGGUUAUUGCCCAAGUCACGAAGAGUAAAUGAUUUUCGACGUGGAUCAAAUAAAUUUAUGAUGAGCGUGAGAGGUUCCGAAAAAUGGGUCUUUCGGAGGCUUACUGCAAAUUGCUCGUGUCUUGCUUCAUAUUAAAAGGUACAAUCUUCAUUCAAAUUCUUCGGAUGUGGUUGUAUUUACCUUUUUGGAAUUCCACUUUACACUGGAAAUGUACUGAUUAAUCAAUUGUCGUUCCUGAGGGUAUGCUAUUUCGUUCAAGCAAUAAAUGUGUAUCACCCAACCAGGGGAUGGCAGAUUUUAAUACAGUUCUGUAUAAGAACCUUACAGAAACUGUAUAAUAAUUUGGCAUAUACAAUUCUGUAAGCUUUUUAUACAAACAUUGUAUUAAAAUAAUACAGAAUUGUACUAUUUUUAUACAAUAUUUGUAUAAAAAGCUUACAGAAUUGUAUAUGCCCAGAUUUUAUAAAAUAAUUGUCAGAUUUGUUUUUUGGGUGUAGGCCUCAUAAUAUAGCGUUAUUAGGUUAUCUAUAUAUCUAGAAUAAAAGAAAAAAAAUAACGUUAGUAGUAUUAGAGAUAAAAAGAGUAUUUUUCGAAAGAAAUUGAUCACCAAAUUGUUCCUUGUUGACGGUAAACAAACAACGCAUUUGUUGUUAGUGGUAACGGCAAACAUCAAUGUUUGCUUAGACUAAAAUUUCAGUUCAGUGUCGGGAAGCAGUUAAUGUCAAAAAUUUUAUAGCAUCCGCCAUUAUGGUGAACGUGGAAAGCUGGAUAUUGGGAAGCACUUUCUCUAGGGGUCCAAAAUAGGACAGUUACCCUAUCUAUAUUGCGGACCGCUUCAAUAGGGCACUGCACGGAAACAUCUCUUUCUCUUUCGUUCCUCAUAAAUUUUGACGUUUACUGGCCUUGUUGUUUUCUAAUUUCUUUGCAGCGAGAAAGAGACAAAGCAGUACGUGCAGUGCCCUAUAGCCCAAAAAUGAUGUGCGACCCACGAUAGUAAGCAGACUGGGGAACACUGGUCUAUUACAAAGAGUUGCGCAAAGAGUGAAGCCAAAACUAUCUAUUGAACUGUCAAACCGUCUACCUAUAUCGAGCAAAGUAAACAAAUAUCUGUUGGUAAGGCGGAAGGAGGCCUUCCUUAGCCGUGCGGUAAGACGCGCGGCUACAAAGCAAGACCAUGCUGAGGGUGGCUGGGUUCUAUUCCCGGUGCCGGUCUAGGCAAUUUUCGGAUUGGAAAUUGUCUCGACUUCCUUGGGCAUAGAAGUAUCAUCAUGUUAGCCUCACGAAUGCAAACAUUGUAACCUGGCUUAGAAACCUUGCAGUUAAUAACUGUGGAAGUGCUUAAUGAACACUAAGCUGCGAGGCGGCUCUGUCCCAGUGUGGGGAUGUAAUGCCAAUAAGAAGCAGAAGAAGUUUGGCCGAGUUGGAAAUUUAGUAAAUACUAUAGAUAGUGGAAUAUAUAGAUGAGCGAAGAUAAGUCCACUGUCUCCAAACGAACUGUCAAACGUGUCUCCAAACGAGCAUGACGUCACAAUUUCAAUGAAAACCUUAAGGGCUGUGACGUCAUAUGCGCGUGUGCACGGGCAAAAAAAUCGACUCAGCCAUGCUUUCGCUCAUCUAUAAAUUCUACUAUUUAUAGUAAAUACCAAUCUAUACACAUUUGACCGAUUCUUCAACACAAGAAGUUUUUAAGGGAGAGAAAGUACUCGAGAAAAUCAUAUCAAACGUAAGACAUAGUAUACUCUGGCAGAGGAAAAAAAAGUAGCGAAAGUUUUGAAAAGUUUAAUAAAAAUGUUAAAAGACUAAAAAGCAAAGAAUUGAGAUUUUUUCCUUGCCUAAAUAUUACAAAAUUAUAGGCACAACCUUUUUCCCACUUCUAAACAUUGGCCACUUAUUGAUUUGAUGUGUUUAGCACUGGGGUUGGUUGGCCGAAUUUUUCCGCCGCAUUUGUUUGUUUAUUCCUUUUUCCUCAAUUUGUUUUCAUCGUUGAAAGUAUGUCACAAUUGUGCUCUAGACUUGUGUAUUUAUGACAGUGUAAAGCUUUUUUCGAAAAGACGGACAUUCCGAAAGUAAAUCUCGGCCAACCAGCCCCGGUCUCCCCUACAAUACCCAUAUAACGGGUUCGCUAAUCAGCAGCAUCUGCAUUAAGGCUUUGUAGCCUGCUCUGAUUGCUCUUGUAGCCUUGCUAACCGUCAAAGAAGUCUGAGUCAAAUUCAGUAUCAAUAUCAGACCUCUAAACGAUAUUCAACCCAAACAACGGCGCAACGAUUCAUUGGAUUGAUCGUUGCUAAACGUUGAUCAAUCGCGCCGGGAUAGUGAUAGGAAAAUAAUAAUAAUGCUACCGGAAGAAAGAGAUCGGCAGGAGUAAGUAUAAGUCUGUAAGAUCGGCCUUUUCUACAAGCCAGCAAUAAUAGGGGUGGUGCUUUUUCCUUGUUAGCUGACUAUGUCGUGGUAUGUGGGUGGCAAGGGCGUGAAGAAGAAAUGGAGUGGUCAGCAUGGCGGGCGCCCGCCGGUAAACUUUGUCACCAUCUGUCUGAACAGUAUGUGUAUGUUAAGCAGGAUAGAAUAAAUAUAAGUAGUUUAAUGAAUCAUUCCAUUUUUUUUCUGUAAGGCUGAAAUUUUUUCCUUGAUUUGGGAUAGUUUUAAUGCCAAAGGUCAAAUUGGGUUUCGGAGGAUCAAGUCCUGUGUGCCUCUUCCUACUUAUUGUAUCUCGUCUUCAUGUCUCAUGCGAUCUUCUGGACUGGAGGGCUGAGGAGUGGAGACAGGAAAAACCUGCCAACUAAAUAUUUGAUUUGCAUUCAUUGUUUGGAGAAAAAUAUUUCUGACUAUAAGUUUUCUUAAUAUAAAGCUUGAACCACUUAAUAUUUGGCCGUUUCUUUCUAAUUACUGCGGCGCCUCUGGUGGCCGUACCGAGAAGUAAAAUACAUCACAUUGUUGCGGAAGGUUUGUUUAAUUUAUAAUGAAAGUUUCAUCAGUAUUGAUGCUCACGUUCAAAAGUUAUCGAAAAUGGAACGCGAGAGAUGGAAACAAAUUUUGCACACUUACUUUGGAAUUCCAACAUGGUCAGGAGGAAUGAUUUCAAAGUACAGCCAAACCUCCAUGAGUCGAUAUUGAAGGGACCAUCGACUCAUAGAAAUAUCGAGAUGCAGAAUAGAAAAUCCUUGGAAAGCAAUUUGGAGGGACCAUCACAGUAACCCAGAAAAUAUGUUUUAGUAUGGAAUAAUUUGCUUCCAUGAGUCGAUAUCGAGUCAUAGAACAUCGACUCAUGGAGGUUUAACUGUAUCUAAAAAAACGAAAACUGUCAAACGUUAUCGGGAAACACUAUUGCUGGAUCUUGUAGAACAAAACAACCGUAGAAAUGGAACAUACGACCAGAGACUACAAGCGAAAGUCUGCAGAGUAGCUCGGAACAAUUCUGGGAUUUCCUUGCGUGAUUUAGUGAAAAGAUUCACUGCGCCGUGUAGUGCAGCUCAAAUAAUCUUUCGGCACGAAGGUUUCAAGUCGUAUGAUGUCAGUAAGCAUCCCAACAGGACCCUGAAACAGAACCAGGCUGCCAAACAUCGCGCAAGAAUGCUGGUCGAGCAAGUUCUGACGAAAUACAAUUGAUGUAUUUUGAUGGGCAAUGAAAUCAAUAUUAAAAUGGACUUUCAAUUCCCGGGACACAAGUUUCACCUUGCCAAACGGAAGGGUAAUGCCCCAGGUAAAUUCAAAUAUGUCUAUGCAGGCAAGAUUGCCCACAAAUUGAUGGUAUGUCAAAGCAUCUGCAGUUGUGGCAAGAAAACUAAGUUUUCAUCACUUGAGCGACCAUAAAUGGGCAAAUAUACAAGGAUGAGUGUCUUCAGAAGCGAUUUUUGUCAUCCAUUCAAUCACACGACUGUCCGGUGUUGCUUUGGCCUGACUUAACAAGCUGCCAAUACAGACGGGAAGUAAUGGAAUGGUUUGAACCGAAUGAUAAUGACGUUAUUGAAAAAUACUAGCAACCUACCAACAUGCCAAAAUUUUCGUCCCAACGAAAAAUAUUAGACAAUUAUCAGAUGGAAACUUAAGAAAUGGUGCAAAACAAUCAGAAAACCAUCUUAUAUGGAGAAGUGGUGUGAAAAAAUGGCAGAUAAAGUUGACCGUUCUACUGUGCAAAAAAUAACGAGUGGUAUUGAAAAAAAGUCCGAGAAUUCAUCCGAAAUGCCAAUGAAUAACUAAUCGAUACUAGCAGACCCGACGAACUCCGUUUCGCCCAAAAUUGAGGCAUGAAGAAUUAGGUGUUUCAUUUGUAUAGGAGCCCCCCUUUUCAAAGUGGGGAGGGGUCUCGAACCAUUUUAAGAACCUUCCCCGGCCCCAAAAACUUUUGCAUACAGAUUUUCACGCCGAUCGGUUCAGUAGUUUCGGAGUCUAUAAGGUUCAGACAGACAGAAAUUCAUUUUUAUGUAUAUAGAGAAGAGAUUUUUUCCUCCAAAGUUUACUAAAUUCCCUGUAUAAUAAAACCUGAACUACCUUUUUAUGUACUUUUUCGGCAUAGAAAUGUCUAAUAUCGUGCGGCCAAAUACUAAGUGGAUCAAGCUUUAAGAAUCAAAUCCAAAUUGGUCCAUUGUUUUUUUUUUUUGGAUUCCUGGUUCUGAGAGCAAUUCCGAUAGCCUACAUCAUCAUUGAGAUUUAUGUGACCCAACCAGAGCUUAAAAUAUUCAUCUUCAUGAAGCAACUUCGGUCCGAAUUUUGACAAACAUCGCAUGAAUAUUCAAAACAUAGAAUGACAUAGUCAGACGACUACUCCACGAACUCAUUCAUUCGACUGUCACUGAAUGUGUUUACUAUGUGCAGAAAAAAACAUAAUUAGCAUUGUUUAUGUUGAUGUUUACCGUUGAAAGUGCCUCGCGGAUGAAAAUCGGAUUCAGUCCUGUAUGAUAAAUCACUUUACUCAUUUGUAACGUGUUCAGAUUUCAGAUAAUUUAUCAAUUUGUAAAAUGUGCAUAAAUAUUCAAUGACUAAUAUUCAACUGAAUAUUGACUGUCCAGAGCCGACUAUGAAUGUGUCGGAAGUGAACUGACAAAUGAAAAAAAAAAAUGGACUUCACCAAAAAUUUUCGAUUAUUUUACACUCUGGACCCAACUAUGUCCAGAAGUUCCUCCAAACCAACAACAGACCCAGUCCAGAGUUGAAUUUUCUUGAUUCGAAUAGGUCCGAGGGUGAUUUCGGCCAUCAACAAACCAACGCAAGAGUUGGGGUUUUCUUAAUCCGAAUAAAUAGGCCCUAGAUCCAUUUUGCCUAAUGAUCAACUCACUCCAGAGUUGGAUUUCAUUUACCCAACCAGGUCCCAUCCAGAAUAAGAUAGUUUUGACUUCAGGCCUCUAGUUUUGACCUAUGACUCGAUCCAGUAAGCACCAAAAAACGCACUCUAGAUUUGGAUUUUUCUUGAUCUGAAUAGAUCGGAUAUCGAUUCCGACCAUUUGCUGGCCCAUUUCAAAAUUGUAUUUCUUUGACCCAACUAGAUCUUUUAGAGUACGUGGAUUCACAAAAAAAAACCGACAUAUUCAAACUUCGGACACUUUGUAUAGGAAAUUUUCUUCGAAAUGUUUUAUCACGAUUCUAACCUAUUUUAGUACAGUUGCAUUAUAGUAAAUAGGGUUUUUUCGCCAAAUGUUGAACGGCUAAUUUCCUCGCCUAUUGUAUUUCUUAUGGGAGUUCAACAAUAGGCGACAGCUUUAGCCGUUCAACAUUUGGCGGUUUCCCCUAAUGUUAAUUCAAUGCGAAGUGUUUGAAAGUCAGUCGGAACUAUCCAGUUAAAUUUAUUUGCAAUAAUUUUUUUUGGUACCGUGGAUCAGGUGUCCGAAAUACGAAUCCAAUGUGGGCUGCUGUCCGAAGUCUGAAUCAAACAGUAGUUAAACAUUUUCGCAAUAAUUCGUACAUAUACAAAUCGAAUUCCAAAGGUGAGUGCAGUAUUUCAGCUCAACUUUUACGCGCUGUU